UACGUAGGAUGCGAGCGUUGUCCGGAAUUAUCGGGCGUAAAGAGAACGUAGGCGGUUUCUUAAGUUUGGGCUUAAAGACUGGGGCUCAACCCCAGGAGUGGCUCGAAAACUGAGAGACUAGAGGAUGGCAGAGGAAAGUGGAAUUCCCAGUGUAGCGGUGAAAUGCGUAGAUAUUGGGAGGAACACCAGUGGCGAAAGCGACUUUCUGGGCCAUUCCUGACGCUGAGGUUCGAAAGCUCGGGGGGCAAACAGG
This 253-nucleotide ribosomal RNA is filed under the name uncultured bacterium. RNAcentral's name for it is "partial 16S ribosomal RNA". It matches the Rfam family "Bacterial small subunit ribosomal RNA", at positions 524 to 776 of the family's 1533-position model. The record is from RNAcentral.